AGCAGCCGCGGUAAUUCCAGCUCCAAUAGCGUAUAUUAAAGUUGUUGCAGUUAAAAAGCUCGUAGUUGAAUUUCAGGAUUUGUCAGUUGGUCGGGCCUUACUGUCCGUACUGACUUGAUGGAUUCUUACCUUCUGAAUAACCAGCAUGCUAUUAAGUUAGUGCGUUGGGGAAGCAGAUCUACUACCUUGAAAAAAUUAGAGUGCUUAAAGCGGGCUAGUGCUUGAAUAGAUUAGCAUGGAAUAAUAAAAUAGGACGGCAUGGUUCUAUUUUGUUGGUUUCUAGGAUCACCGUAAUGAUUAAUAGGGAUAGUUGGGGGCAUUAGUAUUCAAUUGUCAGAGGUGAAACCCUUGGAUUUAUUGAAGACUAACUUCUGCGAAAGCAUUUGCCAAGGAUGUUUUCAUUAAUCAAGAACGAAAGUUAGGGGAUCGAAGACGAUCAGAUACCGUCGUAGUCUUAACCAUAAACUAUGCCGACUAGGAAUCAGACGAUGUUAAUUUUUUAAUGACUCG
This 510-nucleotide ribosomal RNA is filed under the name uncultured Acaulospora. RNAcentral's name for it is "SSU rRNA". It matches the Rfam family "Eukaryotic small subunit ribosomal RNA", at positions 569 to 1078 of the family's 1831-position model. The record is from RNAcentral. Lineage: Eukaryota; Fungi; Glomeromycota; Glomeromycetes; Diversisporales; Acaulosporaceae.